GGCGGGGUUCCCGAGCGGCCAAAGGGAGCAGACUGUAAAUCUGUCGUCAUCGACUUCGAAGGUUCGAAUCCUUCCCCCGCCACCA
RNAcentral lists this transfer RNA (85 nucleotides) under Pseudescherichia vulneris (CDC Enteric Group 1). RNAcentral's name for it is "tRNA-Tyr". It matches the Rfam family "tRNA". Rfam says of the family: Transfer RNA (tRNA) molecules are approximately 80 nucleotides in length. Their secondary structure includes four short double-helical elements and three loops (D, anti-codon, and T loops). Lineage: Bacteria; Pseudomonadati; Pseudomonadota; Gammaproteobacteria; Enterobacterales; Enterobacteriaceae. RNAcentral also lists the same sequence under 10 other names. The record is from RNAcentral.